CCAACACUUACAUGCAUUUAAAUUAAUCUCCUCCUGAUCCACAAAUUUGUUUUCUGUCAAGUUAGUUACGAAUUGACUUACUCUUUUAUUAAAAACACAUUUUUACUAUUAAAACCAAUUUAAAAUGCGGUGGGAUUUGAAUAGAUUUUCAAAUUUUGUGUGAUUUUUAGUUGAAAAAAUAAAUAAAUAGUUUCAGAAAAAAGAAACUUAAACUUUUUUUUUUGGUAACAAUGUUAAGAUUAAUUACCGAUUUUUCAAAUUUGUUACAGAAGGACAGAGGAAACUAGAAGCAGAGUAAUUGAAAGCAACUAAACAGACACUCAUACUAAGACUCACAAGGACAGACAUUAGAGACAACAGCUAACCGAGACACAGCAGAAUCGGACCUGACGCUUGCCGCAAAAGAGAGAACCACAGUUAAUACGAGAUUUUGAGUCCGGUAAUUUUGGCUUCCCCGAUGAACAGGUCUUUAAGAUUUAGCUCACCAAGAACAGCUUGCAACACACCUCAAUCUGCAACCAGUCAAGUCAGACCGCAAAACCCAUGGUCUAGAACACCGCUGAAGACGAAGGCUGAGCUUUAUUUGGGAAGAAGAACAACCAGGAAACGCCACACGCCUACGAACCUACACAAAAAAGACAGAGCUUUCUAAUACCAAGAAACUUAAACUUUCUAAUAACAGGUAAUACAUCACCCCCGC
RNAcentral lists this long non-coding RNA (700 nucleotides) under Brassica rapa (field mustard). Its description in RNAcentral is "long non-coding RNA (BRAP_LNC005612)". Lineage: Eukaryota; Viridiplantae; Streptophyta; Magnoliopsida; Brassicales; Brassicaceae. The record is from RNAcentral.